UACAGAGGGGGCAAGCGUUGUUCGGAAUUACUGGGCGUAAAGGGCGCGUAGGCGGCCUGUUAAGUCGAACGUGAAAUCCCCGGGCUCAACCCGGGAACUGCGUCCGAUACUGGCAGGCUUGAAUCCGGGAGAGGGAUGCGGAAUUCCAGGUGUAGCGGUGAAUGCGUAGAUAUCUGGAGGAACACCGGUGGCGAAGGCGGCGUCACUGGCC
This 211-nucleotide ribosomal RNA is filed under the name uncultured bacterium. RNAcentral describes it as "partial 16S ribosomal RNA". It matches the Rfam family "Bacterial small subunit ribosomal RNA", at positions 524 to 734 of the family's 1533-position model. The record is from RNAcentral.